GGCUUAACCUGCCCUUUACUCGGGGAUAGCCUUUCGAAAGAAAGAUUAAUACCCGAUAGUAUAAUGAUUCCGCAUGGUUUCAUUAUUAAAGGAUUCCGGUAAAGGAUGGGGUUGCGUUCCAUUAGGUUGUUGGUGAGGUAACGGCCCACCAAGCCUUCGAUGGAUAGGGGUUCUGAGAGGAAGGUCCCCCACAUUGGAACUGAGACACGGUCCAAACUCCUACGGGAGGCAGCAGUGAGGAAUAUUGGUCAAUGGGCGUUAGCCUGAACCAGCCAAGUAGCGUGAAGGAUGAAGGCUCUAUGGGUCGUAAACUUCUUUUAUAUAAGAAUAAAGUGCAGUAUGUAUACUGUUUUGUAUGUAUUAUAUGAAUAAGGAUCGGCUAACUCCGUGCCAGCAGCCGCGGUAAUACGGAGGAUCCGAGCGUUAUCCGGAUUUAUUGGGUUUAAAGGGAGCGUAGGUGGACUGGUAAGUCAGUUGUGAAAGUUUGCGGCUCAACCGUAAAAUUGCAGUUGAUACUGUCAGUCUUGAGUACAGUAGAGGUGGGCG
RNAcentral lists this ribosomal RNA (546 nucleotides) under uncultured organism. RNAcentral's name for it is "bacterial SSU rRNA". It matches the Rfam family "Bacterial small subunit ribosomal RNA", at positions 119 to 663 of the family's 1533-position model. The record is from RNAcentral.